Scomber scombrus (Atlantic mackerel) is the source of this 225-nucleotide long non-coding RNA. RefSeq lists it as uncharacterized. The transcript has 3 exons. NCBI's taxonomy places the organism in Eukaryota, Metazoa, Chordata, Actinopteri, Scombriformes, Scombridae. The record is from RefSeq and is a predicted model, not a curated record.
CGAACAGAAAAGAACGAUGGCUGAUUUCAGACGGAUUAAAAUGUCUUUAUUUCUGAUACUGGGGCUUCAGUUUCUGGCAGAAACUGAACAAAUCACGCCCUCAUUCCUUGUUAGAGGUGGAGAUGAGAUCACUUUGCCUUGUAUAAAUGUGACGGACAAUCAGCAUGAAUGCACAACACCCACUGCAAAAGUCCCCCCCUGCAGUUGAUCUGUCUGUUAUUAACA